Molecule: ribosomal RNA, 462 nt
Filed under: uncultured bacterium
Lineage: Bacteria
Description: bacterial SSU rRNA
Rfam family: Bacterial small subunit ribosomal RNA
Source: RNAcentral
GAUGAACGCUGGCGGCGUGCCUAAUACAUGCAAGUCGAACGCAUUGUGGUUGAAAUGAUAUGAAGAACUUGUUCAGAUUUGAUUUUCAACAUUGCAAUGAGUGGCGAACGGGUGAGUAACACGUGGGAAACCUACCUCUUAGCAGGGGAUAACAUUUGGAAACAAAUGCUAAUACCGUAUAAUAAUUAAAACCGCAUGGUUUUAGUUUAAAAGAUGGUCUUGCUAUCACUAAGAGAUGGUCCCGCGGUGUAUUAGUUAGUUGGUGAGGUAAUGGCUCACCAAGACAAUGAUACAUAGCCGAGUUGAGAGACUGACCGGCCACAAUGGGACUGAGACACGGCCCAUACUCCUACGGGAGGCAGCAGUAGGGAAUCUUCCACAAUGGACGAAAGUACUGAUGGAGCAACGCCGCGUGUGUGAUGAAGGUUUCGGCUCGUAAAACACUAGUUGUAAGAGAAGAAU